CUUAACACAUGCAAGUCGCGGGAGAAGGUCCUUCGGAAACUGGGCACCGGCGCACGGGUGAGUAACGCGUGGGAACGUACCCUUCGCGGGGGACAACAGCUGGAAACGGCUGCUAAUACCGCAUACGCUCUAAGGAGGAAAGGCUUCGGCCACCGAGGGAUCGGCCCGCGUUAGAUUAGGUAGUUGGUGAGGUAAUGGCUCACCAGGCCUACGAUCUAUAGCUGGUCUGAGAGGAUGAUCAGCCACACUGGAACUGAGACACGGUCCAGACUCC
Molecule: ribosomal RNA, 274 nt
Filed under: unidentified marine bacterioplankton
Lineage: Bacteria
Description: partial 16S ribosomal RNA
Rfam family: Bacterial small subunit ribosomal RNA
Source: RNAcentral